This 270-nucleotide long non-coding RNA is filed under the name Populus trichocarpa (black cottonwood). RNAcentral describes it as "long non-coding RNA (PTRI_LNC001746)". Lineage: Eukaryota; Viridiplantae; Streptophyta; Magnoliopsida; Malpighiales; Salicaceae. The record is from RNAcentral.
AGUUAACAGUAAAGUUUUAAUUCAAAUACACUACCCAAAAUAUUAAAAAAUAAAUUUAAAAGUACAUAAAAUUAAAGCGAAAGUAAAAAUAAACUCACUAUUAAAGUUACAUCCUUUGAUGUUUUGUAGAAUAUAAUUCAUCUAUAAUCGAAUCUGAAUCGAUAUUGUAAUAACCCCUCAACCGGGAUAAAAUAACAAUUUCAUGUCAACUAGAAAACAAAGUAAUUAAAUUUUUUUCCUCUUUCAUUUCCUCCUUUCUUCACUUGAUUC